GGCAACAUGGUGUAGUGGUUGGAGCAUUGGGCUAUGACUCUAGAGACCAGGGUUCAAAUCCUCGCUUGGCCA
Molecule: non-coding RNA, 72 nt
Organism: Phrynosoma platyrhinos (Desert horned lizard)
Lineage: Eukaryota; Metazoa; Chordata; Lepidosauria; Squamata; Phrynosomatidae
Source: the annotation of a GenBank genome assembly